Molecule: ribosomal RNA, 253 nt
Filed under: uncultured bacterium
Lineage: Bacteria
Description: partial 16S ribosomal RNA
Rfam family: Bacterial small subunit ribosomal RNA
Source: RNAcentral
UACGUAGGGGGCAAGCGUUGUCCGGAUUUAUUGGGCGUAAAGAGCGUGUAGGCGGCCUGAAAGGUCAGCUGUGAAAACUCGAGGCUCAACCUCGAGACGUCGGUUGAAACCAUCUGGCUAGAGUCCGGAAGAGGAGUGUGGAAUUCCCGGUGUAGCGGUGAAAUGCGCAGAUAUCGGGAGGAACACCUGUGGCGAAAGCGGCCCACUGGACCACAACUGACGCUGAGGCGCGAAAGCUAGGGGAGCAAACAGG